UGGCAGUUUUUAUUCACAAAAUCUUGCAUUCCAACAGCGUUACAGAUGGA
This 50-nucleotide small RNA is filed under the name Caenorhabditis elegans. RNAcentral's name for it is "Unclassified non-coding RNA F16H6.12". Lineage: Eukaryota; Metazoa; Nematoda; Chromadorea; Rhabditida; Rhabditidae. The record is from RNAcentral.